This 90-nucleotide unclassified non-coding RNA is filed under the name Pseudomonas sp. NFACC48-1. The record is from RNAcentral. Lineage: Bacteria; Pseudomonadati; Pseudomonadota; Gammaproteobacteria; Pseudomonadales; Pseudomonadaceae.
UGUGGGAGCGAGCUUGCUCGCGAUAGCGAUGGUUCAGCCAGCGAUAAUGUUGACUGAUAGACCGCUAUCGCGAGCAGGUUCGCUCCCACA